This 71-nucleotide transfer RNA is filed under the name Marmota monax (woodchuck). RNAcentral describes it as "tRNA.Ala". The record is from RNAcentral. Lineage: Eukaryota; Metazoa; Chordata; Mammalia; Rodentia; Sciuridae.
GGGGUUGUGGCUCAGUGAUAGAGCACUCACCUAGCACAGGGGAAGCACUGGGUUCAAUCCUCAGCACCACA